GCAGGCGGACUCUCAACCACUGCGCCCCCAGGGAAGCCCCUCUAUCUCUCAUUUUGACUGAGAGAAAUAUUCUGGACAUUCCCCCCAAUGCUGAGAACUCCUGAACUACCUUCCCAUGUCUGCUAAGGUGUACGUCUUUGCCGCUUCCAUCCCGAGUCAUAGGCCAGCUUCUGCUUGUUAAAGAGGUUUCAUUGCAUCUGCAACCCAGGGUUAGGCCCUGACCUAAGAAUCAGUAGACAGGCUGAUUCUUUAGGUGUAAACCUGUUUAGGGCUAACCCAGUGGGAGCUGCCAUGCUUGCGGUUGGUAUCCUGCUGGCUGUAAUUCUUGGAGUAAGUGGUCCAAAGUAAGAUGAGUGACUGUGAGCCAUGAGGUUUUUCUUGUCUUCUCAGUUGUGCAGCGGACCUUCAUAAGCCUUUACGUAAGCAGGCUGGCACUGGCAUAUACAGUGCUUCUGUGUAAAUCAUGCAGAGACACUCCUUCCUCAAGACACUAUAUAUUCAGUUGCUGGGAAACUGUUAAUGAGAAAUGAGAGUAUUAGGUUUAGAUGGACACCAUCCCCCCAGAGGAAGCAGCUCUGUCUGCAGGCAGGUUUAAAACUCAAAACCAAGCAAGCGGUCUGCAUAUCCUUUGUGUAGGAGGCUUCUUGAAGGUCCUCUCUUCUCUCAAGGCUCUCCUUUAAAAAAGAAAGAAAUCUGCAAGUUCUCCAAGUGAUGCUUGGGAUCGCCAUUCAAAUAGUCCCAGGUGUGGUUUCCCCAGGAAUGGCUGUGUCCUGGUUCAGAGCAAGGAGCCACACUGCCUGGGCUUGAAUCCUGGCGGCUCCCCCCAGCUGUGGCACUUUAGGCAAGUUACUUAAUGCCUCAGGAUUUUUAUCUGUAAAAUGAAGUUAAGGAACAAAUGCAAAUGUACUUAAAACAAUUAGCAGAGGGCCUGGCACACAGUAAAAGCUCAAGAAUGCCCAAUGGGACCGGCCCGAGUGGGAUGUAGCCUUCACAGCAUGGCGGGGAGACAGGACUUAUACAUGCUUUACCUGCUCCCGGGAAGUGAGGACUCUGCCCCUGAUUUACUCAUCCCUCAUAUCGAGUAAUAAGUACUUGGCCCUCUGGGAUUGAACUUCAAGCCUUGGUCACUAUGGGGGCAGUAAGAGACUGGUGUUCAAUAGAAAAUAACUGGAUAGGAAUUCGCAUUUGACCUCGGCCCAAGGUCACAUGGCUGGCAAGAUGGCCAAAUAUGGGUCUUCUCUGAGGUUGUUUCAGGUGUAAAGUGGGUGUGCGCCCUGCUGAGGGUUAAGUGAAGCCCUGUGCAGGAAAGCUCUGAGGACCCCCAGGCUGUGGUGGCCCAGCUGCCAGCAGUAACCAUGACCCUGGCUGCUGUGAGGGGGUCUGCCGGUCAUGCUGCCCAGGGCUGGCCGUGGCUGCAGUGACACUUUCUCCUGCAGGUGAACGUGGGCUUCUGCGUCUUAGGCAUUAUUGUGAUGGCUACCACCAAUUCUCUGAUGUGGACGUUCUUUAGCCGGGGCCUCAGUUUCUCCAUGUCUUCAGCCAUUGCAUCUGUCACAGUGACUUUUUCAAAUACCCUCAGCUCGGCCUUCCUGGGUUUUGUGUUGUAUGGAGAGUGCCAGGAGGUCUUGUGGUGGGGAGGAGUCUUCCUCAUCCUCUGCGGACUCACCCUGAUCCACAGGGAGCUCCCACCACCCAGGAAGGCUCUUCCACACAAGCAGCAGUAGCAUCAGCGGGCUGGGCGGACCCGCUGGAAAGACAGCGAUGGCGGCUCAGGCUCGGGUUGGCGUGUGGGGACUGCUUCUCAGGGCGAUCUGGGUGCGCAGCCUUCUGACCCUCGGCCAAAGAGAGAUGCUUCCCAGGGAACCAGGCCUGUGACCGAGCAGCCUUGCGGGUGGACAGCUCCGGCUUCUGUCAGGGGAAGUACACCGCAGCAGUGUUCUGCCCGAAGCCUUCUCGGUCCGUCUGCUCGGUGCUGUUGAUUCUCAUGCUCCACAACCCACCCAGUGAGCCAUGGCAGGUGUGGGAGACCCUGGGGUUGGUGGGCUUCCUGUAUGGACUUGAAACCAUGCUGUAACUGCAGUCCUGUUGCCUAACAAAGGCCAGUCAUGGAAUUUUGGAAUCAGUGACUGGUGGGGCUUUCGACAACUUCACACCGAUAUAUCAGGCCGUCAGCGUCAUGCUUCUGGAUUAUGGCAAGAGAAGGAAAAUUAGAUUAAUAAAUACUUUUUUUGUAAGUUAAAACUGC
Non-coding RNA from Delphinapterus leucas (beluga whale), 2245 nucleotides. NCBI's taxonomy places the organism in Eukaryota, Metazoa, Chordata, Mammalia, Artiodactyla, Monodontidae. The record is from RefSeq and is a predicted model, not a curated record.